This is a long non-coding RNA of Dermochelys coriacea (leatherback sea turtle), 530 nucleotides long. RefSeq lists it as uncharacterized. The record is from RefSeq and is a predicted model, not a curated record. The transcript is spliced from 2 exons. Lineage: Eukaryota; Metazoa; Chordata; Testudines; Dermochelyidae.
GCGCCCCCUGUAAACCUGGACCAAAGCAGAGCUCUCUUGGCACUGCUGCAGAGGAAACACCAAGCAUUUCCACAAGCAAGUCAGCACUCUCUGGAUUCCCAGCCACCUGGUGGCCCAAACUCUGUCCUUGUGAGCCUUGCAGCCAAACCCUUCACACUCCACAGGAAGAGAAGGUUCAAAGAAGCAUCAGGGUCCUAAGUCCUCAUCCCAGGUAUUGAUCACAGUCCCCAGCCGAGAACCCACUGUCCCCUCCUCACUGUGGACUGACUUAUAAGCCUCUGUGAGACUAAACUGCCACUCGUCACAUCUCAGCACCUCUCCUUGCCUCUAUUCAGUGCUGCAAUCGGUUACAGUCUCUUCCGAGCCCAUCAAAUUGGUUCCAGUCUCUCUAGUUUACUGCACAGUUCUUGGCGCCAUUGCCCAACGAUCAGCAGUGUGUAAAGGAUUUUCAAUUCAUGAAAGUUUUAGAGAUUUUUGACUUUUUGUCCCAAUUUGAGACAGAAAAGUUUUUUCAAAAAUUCUCAAGGGAC